AUUGAACGCUGGCGGUAGGCUUUACACAUGCAAGUCGAACGGCAGCACGGGGGCAAUCGUGGUGGCGAGUGGGGGAGGGGUAAGUAAUACGUAGGCACGGGCAUGUUCGUGGGGGAUAAGGUAGCGAUAGGUAAGCUAAUACUGCAUACGAUCUGAGGAUGAAAGCGGGGGAGCUUGGGGCCUAGAGCGAUCGGAGCGGCCGAUGUCGGAUUAGGUAGUUGGAGGGGUAAAGGCCUACCAAGCCGACGAUCUGUAGCUGGUCUGAGAGGAUGACCAGCCACACUGGGACUGAGACACGGCCCAGACUCCUACGGGAGGCAGCAGUGGGGAAUAUUGGACAAAGGGCGCAAGCCUGAUCCAGCCAUACCGCGUGCAGGACGAAGGCCUUCGGGUUGUAAACUGCUUUUGUAUGGAACGAAAACUCUCAGGCUAAUACCUUGGGCUCAUGACGGUACCGAAAGAAUAAGCACCGGCUAACUACGUG
RNAcentral lists this ribosomal RNA (484 nucleotides) under uncultured bacterium. RNAcentral's name for it is "partial 16S ribosomal RNA". It matches the Rfam family "Bacterial small subunit ribosomal RNA", at positions 29 to 507 of the family's 1533-position model. The record is from RNAcentral.